RNAcentral lists this ribosomal RNA (407 nucleotides) under uncultured bacterium. Its description in RNAcentral is "partial 16S ribosomal RNA". It matches the Rfam family "Bacterial small subunit ribosomal RNA", at positions 29 to 526 of the family's 1533-position model. The record is from RNAcentral.
AUUGAACGCUGGCGGCAGGCCUAACACAUGCAAGUCGAGCGGAGCGGCGGACGGGUGAGUAAUGACUAGGAAUCUGCCUGGUAGUGGGGGAUAACGUCCGGAAACGGGCGCUAAUACCACAUACUAUCAGAUGAGCCUAGGUCGGAUUAGCUAGUGGGGGGGGUAAAGGCCUACCAGGGCGACGAUCCGUAACUGGUCUGAGAGGAUGAUCAGUCACACGGGAACUGAGACACGGUCCAGACGCCUACGGUAGGCAGCAGUGGGGAAGAUUGGACAAUGGGCGAAGGCCUGAUCCAGGCAUGCGGCGUGUGUGAAGAAGGUCGUCGGAGUGUAAAGCACUUUAAGUUGGGAGGCGUUACCAACAGAAUAAGCACCGGCUAACUUCGUGCCAGCAGCCGCGGUAAUUC